GACGAACCGUGCGAACGUUGUUCGGAUUCACUGGGCUUAAAGGGCGCGUAGGCGGGCGACCAAGUCAGGGGUGAAAUCCUUCAGCUUAACUGGAGAACAGCCUCUGAUACUGGCCGUCUGGAGGGAGGUAGGGGCCUGUGGAACUGCUGGUGGAGCGGUGAAAUGCGUAGAUAUCAGCAGGAACGCCGGUGGCGAAAGCGACGGGCUGGACCUCAUCUGACGCUGAGGCGCGAAAGCUAGGGGAGCAAACGGGAUUAGAAACCCUUGUAGU
This 271-nucleotide ribosomal RNA is filed under the name uncultured bacterium. RNAcentral describes it as "partial 16S ribosomal RNA". It matches the Rfam family "Bacterial small subunit ribosomal RNA", at positions 524 to 794 of the family's 1533-position model. The record is from RNAcentral.